RNAcentral lists this non-coding RNA (23 nucleotides) under Mus musculus (house mouse). Lineage: Eukaryota; Metazoa; Chordata; Mammalia; Rodentia; Muridae. The record is from RNAcentral.
CAGAGUGGUAUCGAUGUGUCCUG